GAUGAACGCUGGCGGCGUGCCUAAUACAUGCAAGUCGAGCGAACAGACGAGGAGCUUGCUCCUCUGACGUUAGCGGCGGACGGGUGAGUAACACGUGGAUAACCUACCUAUAAGACUGGGAUAACUUCGGGAAACCGGAGCUAAUACCGGAUAAUAUAUUGAACCGCAUGGUUCAAUAGUGAAAGACGGUUUUGCUGUCACUUAUAGAUGGAUCCGCGCCGCAUUAGCUAGUUGGUAAGGUAACGGCUUACCAAGGCAACGAUGCGUAGCCGACCUGAGAGGGUGAUCGGCCACACUGGAACUGAGACACGGCCCAGACUCCUACGGGAGGCAGCAGUAGGGAAUCUUCCGCAAUGGGCGAAAGCCGGACGGAGCAACGCCGCGUGAGUGAUGAAGGUCUUCGGAUCGUAAAACUCUGUUAUUAGGGAAGAACAAAUGUGUAAGUAACUAUGCACGUCUUGACGGUACCUAAUCAGAAAGCCACGGCUAACUACGUG
Molecule: ribosomal RNA, 497 nt
Filed under: uncultured bacterium
Lineage: Bacteria
Description: partial 16S ribosomal RNA
Rfam family: Bacterial small subunit ribosomal RNA
Source: RNAcentral